UACGUAGGUGACAAGCGUUGUCCGGAUUUACUGGGCGUAAAGCGCGCGCAGGCGGCCGUUUAAGUCGGGGGUGAAAGCCCCCGGCUCAACUGGGGAGGGUCAUUCGAUACUGAUCGACUCGAAGGCAGGAGAGGGUAGUGGAAUUCCCGGUGUAGUGGUGAAAUGCGUAGAUAUCGGGAGGAACACCAGUGGCGAAGGCGACUACCUGGCCUGUUCUUGACGCUGAGGCGCGAAAGCUAGGGGAGCAAACGGG
RNAcentral lists this ribosomal RNA (253 nucleotides) under uncultured bacterium. RNAcentral's name for it is "partial 16S ribosomal RNA". It matches the Rfam family "Bacterial small subunit ribosomal RNA", at positions 524 to 776 of the family's 1533-position model. The record is from RNAcentral.